AAUAUAUUUCUAUGUACCCCAAAGUCAAGGAUAGCCCAGGGAAACUUGGUGUAAUACUUGAUGUGGUCUCCGGAUCAAAGAUUUAUCGCUUAGGGAGCAGGGAAUAUCCUAUCAGGUUGUUGGUGAGGUAACGGCUCACCAAGCCAAAGACGGGUAGCGGGUGUGAGAGCAUGACCCGCCGCAUCGGAACUGAGACACUGUCCGGACUCCUACGGGAGGCUGCAGUAACGAAUAUUCCGCAAUGAGCGAAAGCUUGACGGAGCAAUGCCGCGUGUAGGAUGAAUCUUUUCGGAGUGUAAACUACUGUCAGAGACUAGGAACUCAAUGACCAAUCUCAAAGGAAGGGCCGGCUAACUUCGUGCCAGCAGCCGCGGUAAUACGAAGGGCCCGAGCGUUAUUCGGAAUCACUGGGCUUAAAGCGUACGUAGGCUGGUAUAUAGGCAUUUUGUGAAAUCCCUCGGCUCAACCGAGGAACUGCAGAGUGAACCAUAUAUCUUGAGACAGACAGAGGUCGUCGGAACGAUUGGUGGAGUGGUGAAAUGCGUUGAUAUCAAUCGGAACGCCGAAGGAGAAGUCAGGCGACUGGGUCUGUUCUGACGCUGAGGUACGAAAGCGUGGGUAGCGAACGGGAUUAGAUACCCCGGUAGUCCACGCCGUAAACAAUGUGCACUAGGUCGAGGGCGUUCUGACGCGACUCUCGGCCGAAGCGAAAGUGUUAAGUGCACCGCCUGGGGAGUACGGUCGCAAGGCUAAAACUCAAAGGAAUUGACGGGGGCUCACACAAGCGGUGGAGCAUGUGGCUUAAUUCGAAGCAACGCGAAGAACCUUAUCCUAGGUUUGACAUACACGGAUUAGCUAUAAGAAACUAUAGUGACACCUUCGGGUGGAACGUGAACAGGUGCUGCAUGGCUGUCGUCAGCUCGUGCUGUGAAGUGUCGGGUUAAGUCCCUUAACGAGCGCAACCCUUAUCGUUAGUUGCUAACAGGUAAUGCUGAGGACUCUAGCGAGACUGCCGGUGUUAAACCGGAGGAAGGUGGGGAUGACGUCA
This 1048-nucleotide ribosomal RNA is filed under the name marine metagenome. RNAcentral describes it as "bacterial SSU rRNA". It matches the Rfam family "Bacterial small subunit ribosomal RNA", at positions 112 to 1187 of the family's 1533-position model. The record is from RNAcentral.